Molecule: long non-coding RNA, 1141 nt
Filed under: Homo sapiens (human)
Lineage: Eukaryota; Metazoa; Chordata; Mammalia; Primates; Hominidae
Description: non-protein coding lnc-HIST1H2AL-1:2
Source: RNAcentral
GCCACAAAAUAAAUUUUUAUAUCUUUCUCUUAUUAAUCUGCCUGCUGUCAAUUUAUUUCAUACACUUAAUUAUCAAACCCUCAGAGGGCAGAGGGAGUCUUCCCUCCCCUACAGUUCCAAUCAGAUUGUUUUCUAGUUAGCAUGAGGGUUGAUCUAAGAUGUCUGGUCUACCAUUACUGAAAAUAAUUACUAAAAAUAGAAUCAAUGGUAUAGUAUUUGUUAACAUGUUUUAAAAAUAUCAAUAACUAAAUUAUCAUAGGGCUUCCAAUUCUUAAAAUCUUCAAAAUGCAGUUGUAUAAAAUGAUAUAGAUCAGUGCCGUCAUACUCUCUGGUCCAGGGAUGGGUUUCCCAUAUAAAUAAUUCAAAUUCUCACUAACGAUGUUUAAGUUAGGAAAUUAGUUGCCAUGUUGGUUCAGUUGUGUAUCACCACCAAAGAAGUGAGUUGCUAAAUUAAAUAUAAAUAAAUACUUAGCCAUAGAACUAGAGGAAAAGAUUAAACAAUGUAUUGUUGGAUCAAGAAAUCAUGUUUCAAAAUUUAAAUCAAUGACUUUUAUAGUUCAAGUGUCUGUGAAGUCUAAAAUAAAAAUACAGACAUUAAUUGCACUACCUUAUUGGUAGAAGAAAUAGCAAGUACCUUAAAAAGUGCAUGUCAUAUUGGAAUCAAAUCUCUUGAAGGCUAGGCUAGUGGUAAAAGAAAUAGUAGGUACCUUAGAAACUACAUGUCAUAUUUGAAUCAAAUCUCUUGAAGGCUAGGCAAUUCAUCUUGACUAUAUUUUUGUCACCAAAGAGCUUAAUAUUGAACCAUCAAAAUAUAUUCACUUUACCAUCUGGGACAUUUUAAUCAAACCUCUCAUCUGUUCAAUCACAUCUUUCACUUCAGAAAGAACUUUCACUUCUGCCUUGUUUUUCAGAACUAUCUAUAGCCACCACUUUUCACAUUAAGAUGAUCCUUCUCAAGCCAUCAGAGAACUAAGUGACAUCUGCAAUGAAAUGGCUUCACCACUUCUGUCCUCGGGAUAAAAGGCAAAUAAAAAUCUGUUCUUAGAGAACACUGGACAAAUUCUCUUUGUGAGGGAGGAUCAAGCAAUUUCACCAUAUCAUCAUCACACAAUAACUUUUGCCUUUCCUGUGGGAAACAAGC